RNAcentral lists this ribosomal RNA (65 nucleotides) under Fusarium fujikuroi. RNAcentral's name for it is "partial 28S ribosomal RNA". The stretch from base 8 to 65 matches the Rfam family "Eukaryotic large subunit ribosomal RNA", at positions 1 to 58 of the family's 3401-position model. The record is from RNAcentral. Lineage: Eukaryota; Fungi; Ascomycota; Sordariomycetes; Hypocreales; Nectriaceae.
UGAAUGUUGACCUCGGAUCAGGUAGGAAUACCCGCUGAACUUAAGCAUAUCAAUAAGCGGAGGAA